GAUGAAGAACGCAGCGAAAUGCGAUAAGUAAUGUGAAUUGCAGAAUUCAGUGAAUCAUCGAAUCUUUGAACGCACAUUGCGCCCGCUGGUAUUCCGGCGGGCAUGCCUGUUCGAGCGUCAUUUCAACCCUCAAGCUCUCCGGAGUUUGGUGUUGGGGCGCCUGGGGCUUUUCGACCUCAGGGCCCUCAAGUCCAUCGGCGGGACCGCCAGGACACUGAGCGCAGUAGUAUUAUUUCGCUCGGUAGGAUCUUCCACGGCGGGUCGAUCUGGCCGCUAAACCCCCCAAUUCUCACCAAAGGAUGACCUCGGAUCAGGUAGGAAUACCCGCUGAACUUAAGCAUAUCAAUAAGCGGAGGA
Molecule: unclassified non-coding RNA, 357 nt
Filed under: soil metagenome
Description: partial contains 5.8S ribosomal RNA, internal transcribed spacer 2, and large subunit ribosomal RNA
Rfam family: 5.8S ribosomal RNA (bases 1-120)
Source: RNAcentral